GUCGAGCGAACAGAUAAGGAGCUUGCUCCUUUGACGUUAGCGGCGGACGGGUGAGUAACACGUGGAUAACCUACCUAUAAGACUGGGAUAACUUCGGGAAACCGGAGCUAAUACCGGAUAAGAUUUUGAACCGCAUGGUUCAAUAGUGAAAGACGGCCUUGCUGUCACUUAUAGAUGGAUCCGCGCCGUAUUAGCUAGUUGGUAAGGUAACGGCUUACCAAGGCAACGAUACGUAGCCGACCUGAGAGGGUGAUCGGCCACACUGGAACUGAGACACGGUCCAGACUCCUACGGGAGGCAGCAGUAGGGAAUCUUCCGCAAUGGGCGAAAGCCUGACGGAGCAACGCCGCGUGAGUGAUGAAGGUCUUCGGAUCGUAAAACUCUGUUAUCAGGGAAGAACAAACGUGUAAGUAACUGUGCACGUCUUGACGGUACCUGAUCAGAAAGCCACGGCUAACUACGUGCCAGCAGCCGCGGUAAUACGUAGGUGGCAAGCGUUAUCCGGAAUUAUUGGGCGUAAAGCGCGCGUAGGCGGUUUUUUAAGUCUGAUGUGAAAGCCCACGGCUCAACCGUGGAGGGUCAUUGGAAACUGGAAAACUUGAGUGCAGAAGAGGAAAGUGGAAUUCCAUGUGUAGCGGUGAAAUGCGCAGAGAUAUGGAGGAACACCAGUGGCGAAGGCGACUUUCUGGUCUGUAACUGACGCUGAUGUGCGAAAGCGUGGGGAUCAAACAGGAUUAGAUACCCUGGUAGUCCACGCCGUAAACGAUGAGUGCUAAGNGUUAGGGGGUUUCCGCCCCUUAGUGCUGCAGCUAACGCAUUAAGCACUCCGCCUGGGGAGUACGACCGCAAGGUUGAAACUCAAAGGAAUUGACGGGGACCCGCACAAGCGGUGGAGCAUGUGGUU
RNAcentral lists this ribosomal RNA (904 nucleotides) under Staphylococcus sp. RNAcentral describes it as "bacterial SSU rRNA". It matches the Rfam family "Bacterial small subunit ribosomal RNA", at positions 61 to 946 of the family's 1533-position model. The record is from RNAcentral. Lineage: Bacteria; Bacillati; Bacillota; Bacilli; Caryophanales; Staphylococcaceae.